Molecule: long non-coding RNA, 310 nt
Filed under: Olea europaea (common olive)
Lineage: Eukaryota; Viridiplantae; Streptophyta; Magnoliopsida; Lamiales; Oleaceae
Description: long non-coding RNA (OEUR_LNC010794)
Source: RNAcentral
UUUUUGUCGCCAUUGGAUGAUAAUAUAAUGGAUUCUCUUUUCGCUGAUUCGUCCAAUGCCCAAUUAGAGUCUUCGCCAAUUCCACCUGGUCAAUCAAUUACACAAACACAUGGCGUUGUGGGUGGCUCAGGGACAAGUAAUUUUGCAGCUUCCACUGAGGACUUUUAUUUACCUUCUCCUCCAAUAGAAUGGUGUGAGUAAAUUUGGUUGCGAAGUUGCCGGAUCUACACUUGAGGACAAAAUGUUAAAAUCUUCGAUCAAGAGAAGAAUGCCAUUUUUUGCAAUUUUUCUAAGAAUUUAAACUGUCGAA